UUAGGAAUUCCCAUAGCAGUCUUUAACUAGAACGAAGAAAUAUCACAUUAAAUAAAGCAUGGAUAAAAAGUAGAUAAGUGCUAAAACAAAUUUAGAAUAGUGUUGAAGUUUGACGAAGAAGUGGCAUUUUCCUCUUGGUAGGAGAAGGCAAGUAAGUAUCAUCUUGCGCGGCUGAAGAAUGAAUAGUAGUUGCUGAAGAAAUAUAUUUUCUACGCACCUCACGUUUAACAGGAGACACUUUUCGAUUGCUAUUAAAGUCGGAAAAGUGAUUUUCAAAACUCAACAUAUCCAUGGGAUCCAAAAAAUCAUCUUCAAAGGUAUCAAACGACUUGCUCAUGGGUAGCUUGCUUGGUGUUUCUAAGCCGGCAACGGAACUAAUGUUAUUGGUAAAAUAAGAUAAUGAUCCUCCAUCAAGUAAGCUAUCACCUUUAGGACUUUCAGAUAGCGUUACUUGUUUAGAUGCAUCUCCAUUACGUAGAAUUGAAGACUUCAAAGGCGUGACUGACCAAAACUCUGCAUCAGAUGAUGUUAAAGAUGAUAAUUGCUUUGCAUCAGGUGUAGCCAGCAUUUGCAAGAUACGAGUUCGAUGCUCCUUCAAAUUUGUAUUCGGACUUGCUGAGAUACCACUCAUAUCAGAACGGAUGGGUGAAAGUAAAGAAAACUUAGUGUAGUCAUCAGCCACGAUGUCAUCACGAAAGCAAAACAAUUUAGGACACAAGGCCUUCGGGGGGGUUGGAAAAUCAAUAGAAUUUGAUCGCUUUAGCAAAAGUCCACUGGGAUUUUUUAUGGUAGGCGAGCUAGGUAAAGAAGGUAAACGGACUGCAGGGAUCUGUAGGGUAUUAGUUGUACCAUCUUUUAAACCUUUCUUGCCGAGAUUCGUUACAGUGUCAUUAAAACCCAACACGGAAUCAUGAACUGAAGGGGUUUCAACAUCCUUCUCCAAAUGUGAUACAGGUGGACCUUCUACUGGUGCAUCAUCUUUAUUCAAACCCAAUGAUUUAGCUGACUUUAUUCCCAAAGAUUCAUUCCUAAGUGAUUCAGAUGGAGAAGCACUGGAUGCUGGUGAUGACAAAGGAGGAGAUGGAGAAUUUGUACAUGAUUGUAAAGGAGAAGUUACAGAUACGACAGAGGAAACACCCAAAUCGGAAAACUUAGCUUCCAAAUCAGAAGGUGCAUCGAUACCAGGGGUAUCUACAUAGGGUUGUUGACUAUGAAGAGGAUGAAAAUUUGUGGCAUUAACAUUAGAGAUCGUCGGAAUGUUCGUUAAGGAUGCAGUAUAAUAAUUCUGAAGAUAUUGAUGUCGCUGAUUAAAUAUAUGGGGAGAAGUAUUAAACGUGUUAAAUCCAGAGGAACCGGUAGAAGAUCCAUAUUUUGUAGAGGAGGUAACGUCUUGAACAGGAGGCGCUGGUCUUGAAUUUACUCCUGGUUUACGCAGCUUUAGUUUUAGAAAUUGUUCUUCAUGACCAGGACGAAUGCUCCAAAAAUGACCCUUCCCCGGUAAAUUUCUAGGACGUUCAAUUUUCAUGAAUGCCUUAUUUAGACUUAAAUUAUGGCGGAUGGAAUUUUGCCAACCGUUAUUGGACUUAUUAUAGAAAGAAAAAGUAUUGCUGAUCCAAUCAUAUAUAGCACUUAAAGUGAGACGACGAUCGGGAGAACGGAUUAUUGACAUUCCAAUUAACAUAGCAUAGGAAUAAGGAGGUUUCUUUCCAUCAUCUAGGGGUAAGAAAAACUCCUCCGGUUCUUGAGACUGAGAAGAAGAUACAGAAGGGUUUCGAUAUAUAAUAGUAUCCAAAGAUUGCUCCGAAGGAGGAGGUAUGGGAAGAGGAGGAACAGAAUAAGUCAAUCUAGUAUAAGAAGGUAUAUAUGGUCGAGUGGCUUUUGAAGAAGGUUUUUGAAAAGAUGCAAUGUUAUUUUCUUUUCCGCCUGCAACUACGCCCUUCAACUUUGAAGCAACCUUGGGAUAAGGUGGUAAAGAUUGCAAAGGAAUUUCCUGAUAAGCAAUUGGGAGUUCAGAGUACUUAGAAGCAUUGUUAAGGUUUUUUUCAUGAGUAAAAUAAUAAGGGUUAGUAGAAUUAAAAUUCAUGAGGAAGAUGUUCAGACAAAUUGAAUAAUAAAACAAAAAUUAAAGCACCGUUAGAUAAUGGCAAUGCCAAUAAUAAUAAUGAUUAAAAGAGAAAACCAAUUAAGGGAAAAUAAUAGUAAUAGUGAAUACUACUAUA
This is a non-coding RNA of Schizosaccharomyces pombe (fission yeast), 2219 nucleotides long. The record is from the annotation of a GenBank genome assembly. Lineage: Eukaryota; Fungi; Ascomycota; Schizosaccharomycetes; Schizosaccharomycetales; Schizosaccharomycetaceae.